RNAcentral lists this ribosomal RNA (1066 nucleotides) under uncultured beta proteobacterium. RNAcentral describes it as "bacterial SSU rRNA". It matches the Rfam family "Bacterial small subunit ribosomal RNA", at positions 99 to 1175 of the family's 1533-position model. The record is from RNAcentral. Lineage: Bacteria; Pseudomonadati; Pseudomonadota; Betaproteobacteria.
CGAACGGGUGAGUAAUAUAUCGGAACGUGCCCAGUCGUGGGGGAUAACGUAGCGAAAGUUACGCUAAUACCGCAUACGAUCUAUGGAUGAAAGCGGGGGACCGUAAGGCCUCGCGCGAUUGGAGCGGCCGAUAUCAGAUUAGGUAGUUGGUGGGGUAAAGGCUCACCAAGCCAACGAUCUGUAGCUGGUCUGAGAGGACGACCAGCCACACUGGAACUGAGACACGGUCCAGACUCCUACGGGAGGCAGCAGUGGGGAAUUUUGGACAAUGGACGCAAGUCUGAUCCAGCCAUUCCGCGUGCAGGAUGAAGGCCCUCGGGUUGUAAACUGCUUUUGUACGGAACGAAAAGGUUUCUAUUAAUACUAGGAGCUCAUGACGGUACCGUAAGAAUAAGCACCGGCUAACUACGUGCCAGCAGCCGCGGUAAUACGUAGGGUGCAAGCGUUAAUCGGAAUUACUGGGCGUAAAGCGUGCGCAGGCGGUUAUGUAAGACAGAGGUGAAAUCCCCGGGCUCAACCUGGGAACUGCCUUUGUGACUGCAUAGCUAGAGUACGGUAGAGGGGGAUGGAAUUCCGCGUGUAGCAGUGAAAUGCGUAGAUAUGCGGAGGAACACCGAUGGCGAAAGCAAUCCCCUGGACCUGUACUGACGCUCAUGCACGAAAGCGUGGGGAGCAAACAGGAUUAGAUACCCUGUUAGUCCACGCCCUAAACGAUGUCAACUGGUUGUUGGGUCUUCACUGACUCAGUAACGAAGCUAACGCGUGAAGUUGACCGCCUGGGGAGUACGGCCGCUACGUUGAAACUCAAAAGUAUUUGACGUGACCCGCACAAGCGGUGGAUGAUGUGGUUUAAUUCGAUGCAACGCGAUAAACCUUACCCACCUUUGACAUGUAAAGUAGUCGCCUGAGAUAGCUUCGUAGCUCGAAUUAGUACGUACACUAGUGCUGCAUGCUGUCGUCAGCUCGUGUCUGGGAUGUAGGUCAGUCCCGCAACGAGCGCUACCAUAGUCAUAGUGCUACAUCAGUCGGCACUCUAAUGAACUGGCUGUGACUAACGUAGUAGUUU